AAGUAAAAGUCGUAACAAGGUUUCCGUAGGUGAACCUGCGGAAGGAUCAUUAUUGAAAUAAAUCUGAUGAGUUGCUGCUGGCUCUCUCUAAGGGAGCAUGUGCACACUUGUCAUCUUUAUAUCUCCACUUGUGCACCUUUUGUAGACCUGGAUCUCCCUCCGAAUGCUAGCCAUUCAGGAUUGAGGAUUUGAAUUCAUGUUCUCUUCUUCCAUUUCCAGGCCUAUGUUUCUUCAUAUACCCCAAUGUAUGUCGUAGAAUGUAAUCAAAUGGCCUUUGUGCCUAUAAACCUAUACAACUUUCAGCAACGGAUCUCUUGGCUCUCGCAUCGAUGAAGAACGCAGCGAAAUGCGAUAAGUAAUGUGAAUUGCAGAAUUCAGUGAAUCAUCGAAUCUUUGAACGCACCUUGCGCUCCUUGGUAUUCCGAGGAGCAUGCCUGUUUGAGUGUCAUUAAUAUAUCAACCUCUUCAGCUUUUGCUCGUUGAGUGUUGGAUGUGGGGGUUCAUUUUUUGCUGGUCUUCUCAGGUCAGCUCCCCUGAAAUACAUUAGCGGAACAAUUUGUGGACCGUUCAUUGGUGUGAUAACUAUCUACGCUAUUGACGUGAAGCAGUUCAGCUUCUAACAGUCCAUUGACUUGGACAAAAUUUUAUUAAUGUGACCUCAAAUCAGGUAGGACUACCCGCUGAACUUAAGCAUAUCAAUAA
Molecule: ribosomal RNA, 702 nt
Filed under: Phlegmacium patibile
Lineage: Eukaryota; Fungi; Basidiomycota; Agaricomycetes; Agaricales; Cortinariaceae
Description: eukaryotic LSU rRNA
Rfam family: 5.8S ribosomal RNA (bases 295-448)
Source: RNAcentral